RNAcentral lists this long non-coding RNA (1134 nucleotides) under Gopherus agassizii (Agassiz's desert tortoise). RNAcentral's name for it is "lncRNA (ENSGAGG00000013235.1)". The record is from RNAcentral. Lineage: Eukaryota; Metazoa; Chordata; Testudines; Testudinidae.
AUGGUGGGCUACAGGGCUGGCUCCCAGCGGCGCCGCCCCACGGCUCUGCCCCCCGCUGCACUGCCCAUUUAUGUUGCCUUUUGUUUGAGCUUCAGGAAGGGGCUGUUGGGUCCAGCCCCUCCGCUGGUGCUGGGCAGCCACAUGCUGCCCCUCGCCUGCCACAGCAAGCGCCGGGGACGGCCCUGGAGCAGGGGCUGCGGGACACAGAGGGACGCGUGGACUCCCCAGACAACCCUGCCCCGGGGCAGCGGGGAGCUUGGUGGGGUGGCUGGAAGGAAAGACAAAGCCUUCCUUGCCACUCUGCCUCUGCCCCAAACCUCUCCGUGGGCCCAGGCGCAACCCCAGCCAUGCCUGUCCCCUGCACAGUCCAGCCGGGGGGUGGGGGCAUCCCUGGCCAAGCUCGGCUCUUGGGGGGGGUCAAGCCAGGCACCCUUUGCCAUAUUCAAGACCCUGCCCCUUAGGGCAAAUGGUUGGGGAAGAGAUUUAUUAAAAAAACGGGCUAGAGCUGGGCCCAAGGAAUGGGGGCUUCCCACCUCCCCUCCCAGCCCUGCUGCAUGGGGGGGGGGGGGGAGGUCUGGGUCUGGGGACAAUCCUGGCACGUUGCCAGAGGAGUUUAAUGUGGGGCCUGAGCCCAGAGGGCAGACCCAGCACUUAGCCCUCCUGGCACCCUCUACUGAGCGAUUCCCAUUAUGGCAGGGCCUCCGGGGGUCCCGCUCAGCCUACUUCCCACCCUGGCACUCGCCCACAUUCCUGCUAUGCCCAUCGCUGUGGUAUCUGGGCACCAAAGCUCUUCCCCAGUCACCCUCAGGCACCCGUGCCCGCUGGCAGACCCCGAGCCCUGGCUGGAGGCACCUGUCCUUAUGCAGCGCUCGGCUGGUAUCUCUGGCUCAUGUCUCCCCCCCCUCUGGGCCCCGAGCCUCCCCUGCAUGGCUCCAGGGAGCCCCCCCGGCAACACCCGGGAAAUCUGCCCUGGCUCUUCCCUCGAAUGCAGCCCCAGCCCGCCCAGGGACACAGGCAGCUUCUCCAGCCCGCGCCAGGCAGAGCCAGGUGGCUGAGGGCUCCCUGCCCAGGAUCCACCCCCCCAGUGCUGGCGCCCCUCAGGCCUUGUUGAGAAGAGGGUGGAUCGUCCCCUGA